UCUUGCUGUUGCUGCAAGUUGCAGGCUCAGGCUUUACUGCGACGGGACAAGAAGGGUUUGCAGGACGGCGGUGGCGAGAUAAGGCCGGUUUGGGCGGGGUCUCGUCCUUAUCUUGCACUCCGGCUGCCCUACGUCUCUCCGCCCGAGGAGGGGCGAGUCGGAGCGGUGGCGCAGUUGGACCCGUACUUUGGAGCAAGGUAGGUUUUUUGGGGGGUUGCCAUAGUGGUGCCGGCUCGUGCAGGAGGUAGAUCUGCCUGCCCGGAAGAGGAAGGAGCAUCAGUGCGUCUGCCUUCCAGAUCUGGAAGCUGCUGUACGUGCUUACGUAAGCGUACUUGCAGAUCUUACCAUGUAUUCUUCUUCCCAGGUGAUCAUUUUUCGUGUUUGUUUUCUAACUGUUCCAUUUCUGACAGUGCCUAAUUUGAGGUACUGAUGGAUGGUGCUAAAUUCUUUUUGAGUGUUAGUAAAUUGCCAAGCAGGGGUGAAUGAAUUCAAUUAGCCAACUAAUAUCCUGAUAUUGAAAUUGACCGUUAUGCAUAGAUAAGUGCAUCUUUUGGUUUAACACACGAAUAUCUUUUCAGAUCGCUUAUGUAUGUUUGUGCUAUUGUUUUCUCUAAUGAAGAUGGCACAAUAUUAAGACCAUCAAUUUAUUCUGAUCCAUCAGAAAAAGCAACAAUCUAAUACAGAUAAUUCGGUCAAGAUUCUUAUUUUAUGGGUCUCGUCGUACCAUGAUUUUUCUUGUGUUUGCCUAUGGCUAGUUGUAUUUGUACAUAAACUUCUUUGCAGAUGCAUUUAUGUGAAACACAUUCAGGACCUAGCUCGGUAACUAUAUUAGAGGUUCACGUACUGUGUGAUGAUUAAGAGGCUCGAUUGUUCUUUCAUGUGCAGGGUGUCCUAAUAAUUCUGGAUCCGUGUCCCAAUUUUUUCCUGCACCAAAUAGUUGUGGCAUGAAAUAUCCUCUCACUCAUAAUACAGCUUCUUUAAAAAGCUGUUUUUUUUAUCAUUCACAGUGCAUUUGAACAAAAUAUACAAUGGAAGAUUCAUUACAAUUUUAUGUAGUCAUAUCAGUUCCAGAGACCUAGAAGUGUUCUGCAAAGGCUGAGAUGUUUUACCAAAACAAGAUAAUUGGUGCAAUUUUAUGUGUGUUCCUACGGCUACAACUUUUUGAACCCAUCCACUAACACGAAUGAUGAAUAUGGAAUAACAUGCUUAAUUCACCCAUAAAUAAUUUCAAAGCCAUGUACACACAUAUUUGGUCAUUGACAGGAUAGAUUAAUUGCAAUGGUCAUAAUUGGUACCUUACAUUAGUCCUUUUUAUGUAUAGUUCUUAUCUAAUAUUGUUAUAUAUUGAAUAGGUUCUGUGAAUUUCUUAGCUUUUUCUGUGAGGGUUCCUAAAUUAUUACUUAAUCAAUUAAAUCUAGAUCGUCCAGAUCAACUGCUCUACAGCCAUAUAUACCUAUUGCUCAAAAUCUCAAAUACAUGUGUCAUGUUGUUUUCACUUAUCGUCGCUCUCGUUAAUCCCAGUAAAUCAUUUUGCCAGGAUGUAAUUAAUCUAGUUAAUUAAAGCUCGAACUUAUACACUUCCAGUGCUGUCUUUGUAUGGCUUUGGAAUCUCCCAUUUAAAGGAAUCUGCAAAUGUUCCUUACACAGAUUUUUUCCUUGUAUGCUGUGGUUUUUAAUAAUACUAGCACUAUAUGAAUUCAAGAAGAGAUACUAACAAUUGCUACCAGCUGUGGAUCGCCACUUGUAUGUCUCCCCCCAAGCUUAUCCAUAUGGCCAGAACUGAACUGGCACACCCUUCCUGAACAUGGUUCCUGCUGGGCACGUGUUGCCAAUGUUUGGACAUCUGGAGAUAAAACUCUGAUUGCAUGAAGUCAUGAAUCAGGAGUCAGGAUCCACCACGCCUUUCUCUGGUCCCUAGAUAUAUAUCAACAUAUGAAACGUGCAUGCUAUCCAGCGUUGUAAUGAUAGCUCCUGUUAUCAUUCAAACAAGGAGGUGUUUGUAUUUGGUUCC
This is a long non-coding RNA of Setaria italica (foxtail millet), 2011 nucleotides long. RefSeq lists it as uncharacterized. NCBI's taxonomy places the organism in Eukaryota, Viridiplantae, Streptophyta, Magnoliopsida, Poales, Poaceae. The record is from RefSeq and is a predicted model, not a curated record. The transcript has 2 exons.